GCGACCGGCGACCCCCAAGUCCUCCCUGACCCCUCGGGUCGCGCUGGAAGCCCCCUGGGCAGAACUCCCCCUCUGCCUUCCUUUUGGGGUGGCCGAGUGCCCGGGUUCGCACGACAGUGUUUGAAUUACUGAUAGGGAUAUAUCAAGUGCAUCCAGGAUUUUGUAGAAAGCAUCUGGCAGCCUUACUUAUGUCUGACAAAGAAAACAAUGUUGUGGGCUAACAGGUGUUCCCUUUACACUGUGUCUGCCAGGAAACUUGGAACCAGUGUCAGCGCCCAGUGGCGUCAGCCGGCUCAUCUCAAGCCUUAGUCAGGCUUUCCUCCUCUGGUGCUUAUUCUGGUGUUUAUCCAAUUGUCAGUUUUAAAAUUAUGUUCCCAAGUCAUUUAGCACCUCUGGAGUUCAAAGCACUGUCUUUGCAAAGCGAUGUGCAUGUGCCAAAGCUCAAGUUUAUCAAUCCAGUCAGAGACGCGAGCAUACUGAGACCGUGCCUGCCAGCCAGUCUGAUCAGAGUUUGUAUGAUUUUGUGAAAGGAUUUUGCUGUUGGCUUUUGAGUUCAAGUGGAGAGAGACUGGCGAGAGGAAGAGAAAUUGGUGGUUGAACAGCAGCAACACCAGAAUGUUUGGACUCACUCUUGAAUGCAGGAAGGCAGCCCCAGAGCAUCCAGGGCAAAAAGGUUACCAGGGUAGUAAAGGUCAGGUGUCAGCACUAACAUGACUGCAUUUCUACUCACAGGCUGUGGAACUUAGGGAGACUUAGUUACACCCAAAACACACAAGAAAAUGAUACAAGUGAAAUUGUAUGGGAGUGCAAGGAGUGAAGUGAUUAACUGUGCCUUCAAAUCAGGUCUGGAGGUAACACUGGCAUUGGAUCUUAACUGGGAAGAAUAGGGCCCUGCAGUCCUGGGGGGGCAGACCAUGUGUAAAGUCCAAAGGUAGGAGGCAGGUGGCUCUCCAGGCUGCCUGGGUUUACUGUGGGGUACAAAUACUUAGUGAGAAAUGAGGAAAGGACAGUUGGGAAUAUACCCUGAAAGGAAUGGGGUUUGGAAACACCGAGUUUGUGAGGCUUCACCCUCCUUUCACCCUGAACCUGUGGAAUUAAUAUUCUUCCUCCCACACCUUUGCAGUUUCUUCUAGAGGAAGAACAGACCCCGCCUCUUUGGGAGGAACUCUUCUUUACUCUGGACUAUGGUGCUGAUGUAUGCUGUUGCUCCCAGUGGCCAGCACCUGCAGCCCUUCCUUAGAAGACUUCCUUCCCUCCGUCUACUGAAGCUACCCCUCCCACUUCCACCUCAUAUGCAGAUCCAGAAACACCUGCGGAGUUCCCUGCCCUGGGUACUGGUUAGCUGAUGCACGCAGGAGUAUGAAAGCCAAGCUCCCUUGCCUCAGAAUGAUAACAACUGUGAAUCAUACCAGCUCCUGCUUUGAAAACAGUUCACAGACACUAUGAGCAGAUGGACUUUUUGGCAGCAGAACACCUCUUUCCUGUCUACCACAGAUUUUUACAGGAAAAACUAAAUAGAAUGAUGCUUUUGUGAAUUGAGAAAUUAAUAAAUCUUUUUGGUAUAUGUGGAUAAGAUGAGAGUUCCUGUGGCCAGAAUUCUCACCUGGCCGUGGUUGACUAGCUCAUUGCACACCUGUGGGCAACACAUGGCUGUUGACUCUAUAAAAAGAGCUCCGCCCAGUGCUCUGGGCUCGACACGGUGGCAGGGCUACAAGACUGCAGUAGAGCAGAGCAGAGGCUGGAGUGGUGGCAGUGCCGAGCACAGAGGCCCAGAGGACAGCUAUGCAGGACGACUGUGCAGAGAAGCCCAGAGGACAUCUGUGCGAACAGAGGGGCCCAGAAGCAGAGACUGGCUUGCUGCAUACAGACUCACUCUGAGUGAAUGGGAUUCUACUGACUGACGUGCCACCUGGAAAUAAAGUUGGGUAUAACCCUUUCACCCCAAGAACACUUUUCUGUCAAUUUCUUUGGUCACACUGAAUCCAUAGCAAACUUGCCCGGGGCUGAAACCCAUUGGCAAGACAGUAUAUACCACAUUAAUCUUAAGCUUCUACUGUAACUUAAUCAAGACAGUGUAGUAUUGAUGUAAAGAAAGACAUAUUUUAAACUCUUAUUUACCCAAGGGAAAUAAAAACAUAUGUCUACCAAUUACAUGUAUAUAAAUGUUCAUAGCAAGCUUUAUUCAUAAGUCAAAAAUAGAAACCACUCAAAUCUCCAUGAAGAGGUGAAUGUAUAAACAACUUGUGGUAAAUCCAUUCAAUAAGGUGCUGCUUAACAAAAAGGGAACAAACUAGUCAUACAUAUAUGCAACAACAUGAGUGAAUCUUAAAAACAUUAUGCUGAGCAAAAGAAACAGGACAUAAAAAAGCACAUUACUAUCUGAUUCUAUUUAUAUGAGGUUCUGUGAUAGGAAAACUAAUCUAAGUGAUAAUAGAACAUCAGUGGUUGCUAUGCAGGACAUGGGAUUGAUGGCAUAGAAGCUGGAAGACACUUUUGGUGUGAUGAAAAUUUCUGUAUCUUGACUGUGGUGGUGGCCAUUGUCUAGCUUGUGACUAUGCCCAACUGCCUAGUUUGCAUCUUGGCUCUGUCACUUAGCCAGGUUAUUUAACCAUUCUCUACCUUAGGUCCCUCAUCUGUGAAAAGGGCAUAAUAAUAAUACCUAUUUCAUAAGGUUGUUAUAAUUGUUAAAAAGAAUAAAGAUAUUAGCAUGCCUGAGAGACAGAAAUUUCUAUAUGCGCUAGCCAUUAUUGUUGUUAUCAAAGGACAAAGUUAUAUAUGUAAGGAUGUUUGUUAAAGAGGUGGUGAUGAAAGCAGAAACUGGCUUGUGUAGAAGUGAAGCUACAGUGCCUUCACCUGAUGAGAUAUUAUAUAGUCAUUAACUGCACUGUUGACUGUCAGAGAAUCUAUUGGUAUAACUUAUAGUUCACAUGACAAAAAUCAGGUAAACAUCUCAAUAAAUGCAGAAAAGAAAUGAUAUAAAAUCAGGCAUCCAUUCCUGAUACAAAGCAAAGUAGAAAACUCUUGUAUUUAAUUACAUCAAAAGCCAGUAUCAAAUUUUAUGGCAAAACUUUCAAUUUUCCAUUCAAAUUUCACAAACAAAAUAAAGGUGCUAUCAUCACUGCUAUAAUUAAUUUUACUGGAAGUAAAAUCCAAUGCAAUCAAGUAAGAAAAAAUAAAUACGGAGUCUACAUAUUGGAAAUAAAGAUCCAUAAUUGUCAUUAUUUGGAGAUUAUAUGAUUGCAUAUAAGGAUUAACUAAAAUGGCUGGUUAAAAAAUGUUAUUUAUAAAAAUGAAUAGCUUUCCUAUAUACACAUCAUGAGAGAAAAAAUAAAGCUUCACGAGCAAAACAAAAAAAAUUAUUAGAAAUCAUCUUAACAGAGAAUAUACAGAACAAAUAUGAAGAAAAUAUAUCCCAGUUUUGAGGAAGCAUAAAGGGAGAGCUGAGUUCCUACAUAGAAAAACUUGAAACCAUAAAAUUAUCAAUACAACCUUCAAAAAAAUUGAUUGAAAAAGGAACAAGACUUUGUGAGCUAUUUAUCAAAACUAUAUAAAAUUCAUCUGGAAAAUUAAAUAUACCAGAAGAGCCAGGAAAUAUACCAGGAAAAAAAAACAUCUGAAGAAAAUAAAGUGAGAAAGGACUUUUUUAAACCAAACAUAAAACUACAGGAAGUAAACCAUUUUGUGACAGGACUAGCAUAUUCGUUAUCUAUUAUUGCAUAACAAAUGUCCCCAAAAUAUAUUGGCUUAACACUGCCUUCUUUUCUCAUAGCUUUUGCAGGUCAGGAAUCUGAGUGUGGUUUACCUGGGUUUUCUAACUCUGGGUGUCCCAUAAGCCUACACUCAAAGUUCAGCUAAGGCUAUAGUCAUCUCAGCUAGAGAAGGACCUGCUCCCAGCCACAUUCAUUUGGUUGUUGGAAGGAUUCAGCUCCUCAUAGGGUGUAGGCUAGACAUCUACCUUAUUUCCUUGCCACAUGCCCUGUCCAUAGGGCAGCUCACAACAUAGCAAAUGGCUUCAUCAGAGCGAGCAAAUGAGAGGGAGAGAGAGAAAGAAAGAAGUUAUGAAUACCAGUAAGAUGAAGUCAUAGUUUUUAUAAUCCAAUUGCUGAUGUAACAUCCCAUCACUUUUGCAGUAUUCUAUUCAUUAGAAGCAAGUUAGUAGGUCCAGUCUACACUCAAGGCAAGGAGAUUACACAGGACAUGAACACCAGGAUCAAAUGAGGCCAUCUUCCUGCCACAGCUAGAGAGACAAACCAAUGGAAGAACAUGAGGAGUCUGAAAAUAGACCCAAAUUCCUUUGAGAAUUUUAUGAAAUAAAGAUGGCAUUCCAUCUUUAUUGAUGAAAAGCCCUAUUGAUUAUAAUGUCAUCACCAAAUCAAAUAAUCUCCAAAUAACUAGCUGGUUAUCUGGACACUGAGCUCUCCCGUACAAAAAUUAAUUCCUGAGGGAUCAAAAUCAUGCAUGGAAAAAUAAUAAUGAAUGCUAGCGGUAGACAUAGGAUUUUUAACAAUUAUUAUCUUGGCAUAAGAAAACCAUAUCUUAACCUGACACAAAACCCAGAAGAUAUCAAAAAAUUUUGACAUCAUUGAUAAAAAAAAUUUUAAAUAUCCAUAUGGAAUGAAAAAUUGGAAAAAAAAAAAAGCUUGUGACACAUAUGACAGAGAGUUUAUUUUCUAAUAUAAAAAUAGUACUUUAAAACAAGUAAGGAAAAAAAAAUAACCAAAUAGAAAAAUCAACUAUGAUGUAAACAACUAUAUAUAAACAUCUAAGAUAUACAUGUGAAAAGAUGCCCAGCUGAACUCACAAUCAAAGAAAUAUGUCAAAGAGAAAAAUGUAACACCAUUUUACCUAUAAAAAUGGCAAAAAUUUUAUGGUUUUACAACCUACAGUUGGGGAAAGUACAGAGAGAAUGUAAAUUCAGGUUUUCUCCGAUAGCCAUCUGGCAAAUUCUUUCAAAGCUAAAAAGUGUGUAUAACCCUUUACCCAGCAACUCCACUGCUAAUUAUGUAUCAUAUGGAAAU
Manis pentadactyla (Chinese pangolin) is the source of this 5018-nucleotide long non-coding RNA. RefSeq lists it as uncharacterized. The record is from RefSeq and is a predicted model, not a curated record. The transcript is spliced from 4 exons. Lineage: Eukaryota; Metazoa; Chordata; Mammalia; Pholidota; Manidae.